UUUCUCUGCUCCGAUUGCAACGCUGCCUCGUUCAAAAAUCAUAACACCGCCGCGGCCGCCACGUUUACCAGCCGGAGCCUCAAAUCAUGUCCCUUUGUGGUGAUAAAGAGGACACAGCCUGGUGUGAAGCUACAUUUAUUACGGAAGGAUGCCACCCGGGAUCCGAACACGUCCGAUAUCAUCCAAGAGAAUGUGGCAGCUGAAGGGGGAGAGGCCAAGAAAGAGGCCAAGGGUGAAGACAUUUAGCCACCCCCCCUGAAGUACAUGGCAUCAUUCAACCCUCUUGGUGAGCUGCAGGAAUGUGCUUCCCAUUGCAGUGCACCAGCUCCAUGUACUGAUUUUGGGUGUGAACUUGAUGGGGUUGGAGGAAACUCGACUCGGCCAUCAAGCUCACCACAAUAUAACAUGAAAAGUGAAAAUUGCUGCACACAACAGCCUGCUGUCUGCACCGGGAGGCAAGGGAGCUCAAAGCCCAGGCUGUUACAACUCCUGGGCAGUUUUUGCCCAGAGCCAGCAAUUUUUUAGGUCCAAUAGGGAUGGAUUUCUUCUGAGGUCAGGUUCAACAUGCUGCAAGAUCUAAGCCUAGUAGGAGAUAUGGGUUACAAGAGAGGAGGUUUGCUCUGGCCUUAUACUAUCAAAGUCCAAAUGCUAAUAGAUUUCUAAGCACAGUAUUUCACUUGCCUUCAGUUUCAACACUUCACUCAUGACUCAGGGGUAUUUCAGUACAUGUUAGCUGGAGCAAACAGACUCUGACAGCCCUGCAGCAAAGAGCACAAGCUUUGUCAAAAGAAGAGAAACUUCGUGGGAUUUGCCAUUAUUUAGUAUUACUCUUGUUAUGCCAAAAAAAAAAAAAAUCCAUAUACUUUGCCAAAUAUUGCAAGUAAUGCACCAUUGUUAGUCUUGCCUGUUAUAAAUCAGAUCUUGUUCAAUUAACAAGCUUUGGGUGUCUGCCGCUUUCCAGUUGUAAUGCA
Eriocheir sinensis (Chinese mitten crab) is the source of this 971-nucleotide long non-coding RNA. RefSeq lists it as uncharacterized. The transcript is spliced from 4 exons. NCBI's taxonomy places the organism in Eukaryota, Metazoa, Arthropoda, Malacostraca, Decapoda, Varunidae. The record is from RefSeq and is a predicted model, not a curated record.